AAAAGCAAAAAGAAAAGAGGCAAAGUUAUCAAAUCAAAAACCCUACUUCCUCCCUUGUUGUUCUUCUUCUUCUUCAAAUCCGCCGUAAAUCUUUCUAAAACCAAAAAUCUAGAGUGAUGGCAAGCACUACUGUUGAACCCAAAUUGGAGAAGAAAGAAGAGGAAGUAGAAGCAGAAGUAGAAGAAAACCCAACUGGCGAUGAUGAAGACACUGGUGCACAAGUUGCUCCCAUUGUUAGGCUACAAGAAGUUGCUGUCUCCACUGGUGAAGAAAAUGAACAUGUUCUUCUUGAUCUGAAAUCAAAGUUAUACCGAUUUGACAAGGAAGGGAGUCAAUGGAAAGAGAGAGGUGUUGGGACUGUGAAGCUUCUCAAGCACAAGGAAACUGGAAAGGUUAGGCUUGUGAUGAGGCAAUCCAAGACGCUGAAAAUCUGUGCCAACCACUUGGUCCUUCCUACUAUGUCGAUCCAAGAACAUGCUGGGAAUGAGAAGUCUUGUGUGUGGCAUGCUGCUGACUUUGCUGAUGGAGAACUGAAAGAUGAGACUUUUUGCAUCCGCUUUGCUUCAGUUGAGAAUUGCAAGGCUUUCAAAGAGAAGGUUGAAGAAAUUGCUGAAUCUCAACAGACAAAGUCUGGACAAAGUGAAGAAGCUGGUGCUGCUGCUACUGAACUUAUUGAAAAGCUUAGUGUUGAAAGCAAAGAUAAAAAUGACAAACCUGAAGACAAAGAGGCCCCUGCAGCUACAGAGGAAAAGGAAGAUAAGAAGGAAGAGAAAGCUGAAGAAAAGAAUUAAAAUGUUUGUAUUGUCGGUCAGUUUUUUUUUUUUUUUAAGGUU
Molecule: unclassified non-coding RNA, 833 nt
Filed under: Hevea brasiliensis (rubber tree)
Lineage: Eukaryota; Viridiplantae; Streptophyta; Magnoliopsida; Malpighiales; Euphorbiaceae
Source: RNAcentral